ACUCCUAACUACGUAUUAUAAUAUUUUAUAUUAAUGAAGUACUUUAGCAUACAUUAUGAGCCUGAAUAAAGCUUUUUAUUAAAUAUUCACAAGAUUGAAGGAGAAAUUCUUUAUAGUUAGGAAAUGAUUUUUUCAUAAACAAUAAAUAGCUUUGAAAAUAUAAAAAAAAAUUUAGGGCUGGGUGCAGAGGCUCAUGCCUGUAAUCCCAGCACUCUGAGAGGCCGAGGCGGGUGGAUCACUUGAGGUGAGGAGUUCAAGAUCAGCAUGGCCAACAUGGUGAAACUCCACCUCCACGAAAAAUACAAAAAUUAGCCAGGCAUGGUGGCAUGCGCCUGUAAUCCUAGCUACUUGGGUGGCUGAGGCAUGAGACUCACUUGAACCUGGGAGGCAGAGGUUGCAGCAGUGAGCCGAGAUCAAGCCGCUGCACUCCAGCUGGGGCGACAAAGCAAGACUGUCUCAAAAAAUAAAAACAAAAAAAUUAAAAUAAAAUCCUAACUUUCCUAGUUAGAAAUAUAAUUAACUUUUAUUGGCUAUUAGUAGCUAAAAUUGCCCUUAUUUUUGCUUCUGUGGCCUCAUUUUUUUUCUCGGUUAUUCAGUAUUUAAAUUAUGGCUUAGAUGUCUUCAAUGCUAUAGUCCUAAAAAUUAAUGAUCUACGUUGUGCAGCAGUGAUGGGAUCUGAUAAACUGA
This 687-nucleotide long non-coding RNA is filed under the name Homo sapiens (human). RNAcentral describes it as "LHRI_LNC1527.1". The record is from RNAcentral. Lineage: Eukaryota; Metazoa; Chordata; Mammalia; Primates; Hominidae.